This 802-nucleotide ribosomal RNA is filed under the name Byssolecania variabilis. RNAcentral describes it as "SSU rRNA". It matches the Rfam family "Bacterial small subunit ribosomal RNA", at positions 372 to 1297 of the family's 1533-position model. Lineage: Eukaryota; Fungi; Ascomycota; Lecanoromycetes; Lecanorales; Pilocarpaceae. The record is from RNAcentral.
UGGCCUAACGGCUGAACCAGCAACUUGGAGGAAUGAAUGGCGAAAGCUAGUAAAGUCAAGAAAGACAUCGAUUUACUCGAAUAAAGUUCUAUGGUGAAGCUUGAUAAUGACAUCUUUGCUAUAAGUCUCGACUAAGCUACGUGCCAGCAGUCGCGGUAAUACGUAGGAGGCAAGUGUUAUUCAUCUUUAUUAGGUCUAAAGGGUACCUAGACGGCGUGUUAAGCCUAGAGGGACUGACAUAGCUAGAGUUAUUUGUGAGGGGGCCAGGUACUAGUCAGUGUAGAGAUGAAAUUCUUUGAUACGUUUUUCGGUAGAUACAUCAUGGCACGGGUCGCGGCGAAAGCUUCUCUUUAUGUAAUAGCUUCAUAUAACCAAAAGGAUUAGGUACCCUAGCAGUUGAAAGCAGACAAUUAUGAGUGUCAUAGAUCAAUCUUGUUUAUAAACGAUAGUGCAUGCACUCCACCUCAAGAGUAAUUUGGCAACAUUGGAACUGAAAUCAUUAGACCGUUUCUGAAACCAGUAGUGAAGUAUGUUGUUUAAUUUGAUGAUCCACAAAGAACCUUACCAUGAAUAUUUACAGGCGUUGCACGGCUGUCUUCAGUUAAUGUCGUAAGAUUUUGGUUAGUUCCAUUAAUUUAACGUAAACCCUUACUUUAUUUUUAAUAUAAAGUUGUUCUCCGCUAGAUUGGAUAAGAUAACAGGGACUAAGACAAGUCAUCAUGGCCCAAAAGUAGUAAGCUUUUACAAAAGGAUGUGAAAUUGUGAAAUUAAGCUAAUCCUCCAAAACUAGCUAUACAACUUA